Molecule: ribosomal RNA, 468 nt
Filed under: uncultured bacterium
Lineage: Bacteria
Description: partial 16S ribosomal RNA
Rfam family: Bacterial small subunit ribosomal RNA
Source: RNAcentral
GACGAACGCUGGCGGCGUGCUUAACACAUGCAAGUCGAACGGAAAGGCCCUGCUUUUGUGGGGUGCUCGAGUGGCGAACGGGUGAGUAACAAGUGAGUAACCUGCCCUUGACUUUGGGAUAACUUCAGGAAACUGGGGCUAAUACCGGAUAGGAGCUCCUGCUGCAUGGUGGGGGUUGGAAAGAUUCGGCGGUUGGGGAUGGACUCGCGGCUUAUCAGCUUGUUGGUGGGGUAGUGGCUUACCAAGGCUUUGACGGGUAGCCGGCCUGAGAGGGUGACCGGCCACAUUGGGACUGAGGGACGGACCAGACUCCUACGUGAGGCAGCAGUGGGAAAUAUUGCGGAGUGGGCGGAAGCCUGAGGCGGCGACUCCGCGUGCGGGAAGACGGCCUUCGAGUUGUAAACCGCUUUCGCCUGUGACGAAGCGUGAGUGACGGUAAUGGGUAAAGAAGCACCGGCUAACUACGUG